RNAcentral lists this small nuclear RNA (107 nucleotides) under Canis lupus familiaris (dog). Lineage: Eukaryota; Metazoa; Chordata; Mammalia; Carnivora; Canidae. RNAcentral also lists the same sequence under 1 other name. The record is from RNAcentral.
GUGCUCUCUUCAACAGCACAUAUGCUGAAAUUGGAACGAUACAGAAGAGAUUCGCAUGGUCUCUGCACAAGGAAGUCACACAAAUUCAUGAAAUGUUCCAUGUUUUU